Long non-coding RNA from Ananas comosus (pineapple), 1026 nucleotides. RefSeq lists it as uncharacterized. The transcript has 5 exons. NCBI's taxonomy places the organism in Eukaryota, Viridiplantae, Streptophyta, Magnoliopsida, Poales, Bromeliaceae. The record is from RefSeq and is a predicted model, not a curated record.
AAAGAGAGAGAGAGAGAGAGAGAGAGAGAGAGAGAGAAGGGAGUAACAUGAGAAGAAGAAGAAGGAAGAGGAGACUCUGGCCGGAAGCCGCUGCUGCCGGGUCCUUUGACAUUGUCGCUAGAGCCGCCAGAGCUGCGGCCGUGCACACCAUCGACGUCGUCUUGCCUGCCAGCGUCGGCACUCGAGUCAAUGUCGCAACCCAUCAACUCCUCCAGUUGCUCAGCUUCAAGAGCAAGAAAGUGCAUCAAAGAGAAAGUGGUGGAUUUCUUCUUUAGCAUGCAUACAUAAAAAUGUACCCCAUAAUAUACCUAUGGUGGCCUUGUGGGUCCCACUGCCAGUAUUUUUCUCUCUCCUUUUCCUUUCCUACGCGUCGCCCGUCUUCCCCUGUCGCCUUCUCGAGCGUUCCUUCUCUCUGUCGCGCACGCGCCGCUUCGCCCUCUCUUACUCAAUAGGAAAACGAUCGCAACUGUUCGGCUUCCGUCUCUUCGUCACCCUCGUCCUCAUCUAAACCUCCGCAUCGGCUUCUGUGUAUUCCUCGCUCUCACCCUGAUCUCACCCUUCGCCGAAACCCUAAUUCCGACCCUAGAUUUCUUGACUCUCGCUGCCCAUCCCCUUUUGAUAGGAGCCUCUGCCUUCGCUCCAUCACCUCCUCGAUCCGCCUCUCCCACGCCAACAGGAACUAGAAGAGCACGAAGAGACCAAGGGUAUGGGUCACUCUCCUUAAGGCCAUAAAGAAAUACCCUUAUUUCCUAAAAGAACACGAGACCUCCCUCUGUAGAGAUGUCGAUUUCUUACUUGAGGCUUGGAAACUUUUUAUAUUCUAUCAGGUUCACUAAUAAUUCAACUGUCUAUUUGGAGUUCUUUGUUGUUGAGUGAAGCAUUGGAGGUGAUUUGGGUUAUAAUUUUGUCUAAGCUAUGGAACCAAAUAUUUUCAGUGGCUUUGUGAUGACGACAGAUAAUAUGAGGGCUCCGUUCACUGAACAUUCUUUGAUUGACACAAUUUGAUGAUAUUAGAGAUUAUUUUGU